Molecule: non-coding RNA, 30 nt
Filed under: Rattus norvegicus (Norway rat)
Lineage: Eukaryota; Metazoa; Chordata; Mammalia; Rodentia; Muridae
Source: RNAcentral
UAUGAGUGUCGCUAUUGCCUACGAAGUUAC